UUAAAGAAAUUGUAGUUUUGGUUGGAUUUGUUUUUCCACCCGUUACAGUUGAUCAUAAAUCUAAUGUUCGCUGAAAAAAAAAUCCAACCAAAACUACAAUUUCUUUAAACUACAAAACAAAAAAAUCAAUACCAAUUUCAAAUCGUACAUUAUUAUCACUAAAAUAUAACAAGCAACGAAAACAGAGUAUAAAUCAAGAAACAAGCGUACGCAAUCAAUCCACGAUGUUCCUCUCCUCCAUCAGCCACUGCCACCAUUAGAUUUGUACAAGCCCUAGUCGCCCAAAUGACAAAAACCCCAGCGACCAAGAAUCUAAUAGGCCCGCCCUGAGGCAUGAAAAGCGAAAUCGCUGAUAACAUCACCACCGGCAGUAAACAAUAACCAAGAACACUAGUACAAGUAUGCAGAUCCAAAUUGCCAUUUCUCCCAGCCAGCAUAUUAAAUACCACAUAAAGAAAAAUCGACGAUACGACAAUCCAGCCCAAAAUUACACCAAAUUGGAUUUUCCCCGCGAGUAAUUGAAAUAAGCAAAGAGAGAGGUAGAGGAAGAUCGGGCCAGACAGAUCCGAAUCUUUGUGGAAGGUGGGGUUAACGCGGAAUGGAUUCAGAAUUGAUUUUGUCUUUCUCCAGAUUUGAUCAGGAUGUAUACCGAGCUCAUCGAGCAGUGGCUCUUCGUCGUCGAAGUUCGCGGCGCCAGAUGACGCGGCAGGCCCGCCGCCAAUGGGACCG
Molecule: unclassified non-coding RNA, 729 nt
Filed under: Hevea brasiliensis (rubber tree)
Lineage: Eukaryota; Viridiplantae; Streptophyta; Magnoliopsida; Malpighiales; Euphorbiaceae
Source: RNAcentral